This 1570-nucleotide ribosomal RNA is filed under the name Escherichia coli. RNAcentral describes it as "partial 23S ribosomal RNA". It matches the Rfam family "Bacterial large subunit ribosomal RNA", at positions 211 to 1805 of the family's 2925-position model. Lineage: Bacteria; Pseudomonadati; Pseudomonadota; Gammaproteobacteria; Enterobacterales; Enterobacteriaceae. The record is from RNAcentral.
CCGAGGAAAAGAAAUCAACCGAGAUUCCCCCAGUAGCGGCGAGCGAACGGGGAGCAGCCCAGAGCCUGAAUCAGUAUGUGUGUUAGUGGAAGCGUCUGGAAAGGCGCGCGAUACAGGGUGACAGCCCCGUACACAAAAAUGCACAUGCUGUGAGCUCGAUGAGUAGGGCGGGACACGUGGUAUCCUGUCUGAAUAUGGGGGGACCAUCCUCCAAGGCUAAAUACUCCUGACUGACCGAUAGUGAACCAGUACCGUGAGGGAAAGGCGAAAAGAACCCCGGCGAGGGGAGUGAAAAAGAACCUGAAACCGUGUACGUACAAGCAGUGGGAGCACGCUUAGGCGUGUGACUGCGUACCUUUUGUAUAAUGGGUCAGCGACUUAUAUUCUGUAGCAAGGUUAACCGAAUAGGGGAGCCGAAGGGAAACCGAGUCUUAACUGGGCGUUAAGUUGCAGGGUAUAGACCCGAAACCCGGUGAUCUAGCCAUGGGCAGGUUGAAGGUUGGGUAACACUAACUGGAGGACCGAACCGACUAAUGUUGAAAAAUUAGCGGAUGACUUGUGGCUGGGGGUGAAAGGCCAAUCAAACCGGGAGAUAGCUGGUUCUCCCCGAAAGCUAUUUAGGUAGCGCCUCGUGAAUUCAUCUCCGGGGGUAGAGCACUGUUUCGGCAAGGGGGUCAUCCCGACUUACCAACCCGAUGCAAACUGCGAAUACCGGAGAAUGUUAUCACGGGAGACACACGGCGGGUGCUAACGUCCGUCGUGAAGAGGGAAACAACCCAGACCGCCAGCUAAGGUCCCAAAGUCAUGGUUAAGUGGGAAACGAUGUGGGAAGGCCCAGACAGCCAGGAUGUUGGCUUAGAAGCAGCCAUCAUUUAAAGAAAGCGUAAUAGCUCACUGGUCGAGUCGGCCUGCGCGGAAGAUGUAACGGGGCUAAACCAUGCACCGAAGCUGCGGCAGCGACGCUGAUGCGUUGUUGGGUAGGGGAGCGUUCUGUAAGCCUGCGAAGGUGUGCUGUGAGGCAUGCUGGAGGUAUCAGAAGUGCGAAUGCUGACAUAAGUAACGAUAAAGCGGGUGAAAAGCCCGCUCGCCGGAAGACCAAGGGUUCCUGUCCAACGUUAAUCGGGGCAGGGUGAGUCGACCCCUAAGGCGAGGCCGAAAGGCGUAGUCGAUGGGAAACAGGUUAAUAUUCCUGUACUUGGUGUUACUGCGAAGGGGGGACGGAGAAGGCUAUGUUGGCCGGGCGACGGUUGUCCCGGUUUAAGCGUGUAGGCUGGUUUUCCAGGCAAAUCCGGAAAAUCAAGGCUGAGGCGUGAUGACGAGGCACUGCGGUGCUGAAGCAACAAAUGCCCUGCUUCCAGGAAAAGCCUCUAAGCAUCAGGUAACAUCAAAUCGUACCCCAAACCGACACAGGUGGUCAGGUAGAGAAUACCAAGGCGCUUGAGAGAACUCGGGUGAAGGAACUAGGCAAAAUGGUGCCGUAACUUCGGGAGAAGGCACGCUGAUAUGUAGGUGAAGUCCCUCGCGGAUGGAGCUGAAAUCAGUCGAAGAUACCAGCUGGCUGCAACUGUUU